This 493-nucleotide ribosomal RNA is filed under the name uncultured bacterium. Its description in RNAcentral is "bacterial SSU rRNA". It matches the Rfam family "Bacterial small subunit ribosomal RNA", at positions 8 to 518 of the family's 1533-position model. The record is from RNAcentral.
AGAGUUUGAUUCUGGCUCAGAGUGAACGCUGGCGGCGUGCUUAACACAUGCAAGUCGAACGGAUGAAAUAAGCUUGCUUAUUUCGUUAGUGGCGCACGGGUGAGUAAUGUAUAGCUAACCUGCCCUUUAGUGGGGGACAACAGUUGGAAACGACUGCUAAUACCCCAUACUCCAGCCUAUCAAAAGGUAGGUUGGGAAAGAUUUAUUGCUAAAGGAUGGGGCUUUAUGGUAUCAGCUAGUUGGUGGGGUAACGGCCUACCAAGGCAAUGACGCCUACCUGGUCUGAGAGGAUGAUCAGGCACACUGGAACUGAGACACGGUCCAGACUCCUACGGGAGGCAGCAGUGGGGAAUAUUGCACAAGUGGGGGAAACCCUGAUGCAGCAACGCCGCGUGGAGGAUGACGCAUUUCGGUGUGUAAACUUCCUUUUAUAAGGGAAGAUAAUGACGGUACCUUAUGAAUAAGCACCGGCUAACUCCGUGCCAGCAGCCGC